CGUCUGGGGCUCACAUUCUGGGGAGUUACUCAAGUAUGAAUGUUUGACAAAUUCGUGAUUAUCCACUUCUUAAUAAAAGACAAAAAUCACUUGGUAGUUUCAGUUUUUGUACAAAACAGUUCACACUAAAUAAUGGGAAAACUGCUCUUUUGAUUUUGAAAUUUAACCUCAUUUAUUACUCCUGUGAAUAGUAACUCAAGCUACCAGAGCUCCUUCUCCAGCAUGAGUUAACAGAUGGAUGCUGUGUAUUACUACAUUAAUUACCCGGAUGCUUCUGGGUCAGUUUGUCAUCUUAAGGAGACUACACAGGUCUCUGUGAUCUCGACUCUUACACAGUGCAUAGAAGUCAGUACAGCUCUUAGAAGUGAAUUAAUCAUGGGUUCUGAGUUAUAGUUUUCUGAAUCCCAAAUAAAAUCCCCCUUCUUUAAAGCAAAAUUUCAAAAAUAAAAUCUGAAUGUGACCUGGAGGUUUAUAAUGGAAUGUAGUCUAUUAACUCUGCAUACUCUUCCCGAUUUGUAAUGUUUAACCAGAGGUGUACUUUAGUAUCACCUAAGGAGCUUUUUCAAAAUACACACAUCUGAACUCUUUUCCUAAAGAAUCUAACUCAGUAGAUCUGAGGAGGGAGGCCAUGCAGGUCUGUUAGAAGAGUUUCCCAGGUAAUUCUGAGGUGUCCCCGGGUCAAGAUCUGUUUUACAAGAUUGGCCACAUGCUGGUAGCUGUUGGUCGUGCUCACCAAGUGUGCUGUUGUGUCUGUAGGUGAAGUCUCAGGAACGGGGUUGCUUUAUCAAUGGUUGAUGUACAUUUUAAUAGAUGUCGCCACAUUACUUUCCAAAAACUCAACAACAACGCGCGUCUCCACCAGCCAGUACUGCUCUUUGAUAUAAGCAAGAGGGGCUCCUGCCCUGGGCCCUGCGCUUUAGGGGAACCUCAUGUCACAAACACACAAAACAGUUGGUUUACUGCAGAUACACAGCACCUCUAUCGCUCAGCAGUGGCACAGCGUCACCCUCGUCAUCCGCUCUGUGACUAAUAUCAUUCAGCCCCCAGGGAAGUGCUUCUCUGCAUUUCUUCCUCUGUGUCUUGGAAGUAAAGGCCACCUGAGUCUACAGGCGUGUGGAUUAUGCUACUGCUGACGUCAAAAAUGGACACUGCUGUGGAGUGUGGGGAAGCGUUGAACAGCAGAACGCCUUAGAUGAUUGAAAAUGAGUACAAGUCAAGAUUUUGAUAGAAGAAUACUAAAGUGGAAUUCACAAAAGAAAAAAAAAAGCUAAACGGAAAAAAGAAGUAAAAAAUCUUCAAAGAAACAGUCUGCUUUAAAAGUAAGCAGUCUUCUCCCAGGAUGACCCACAUAAAAUUCAGAACAUUAUAAAUUCCUGGUUCCAUGAAGAUUGAAUUACUUAUCAGAACAAUGAAAAUUAGUAGGAAUAUUAUUCUCACCAAAUCCACAGCUUGAACAAUUCAGAUGAAGUCCCUACAACUUCACGUUCUUUACUAAAGGAAGAUUUAAUUGCUAAUCACAAAGAAUCGUUUACCAAAAAAGGACGCAUGCAGGUAUUAGAAUUGGGUGGAAACGGCUGAAUAAACAGUAGACAGUUGAUCACCGGAGAAGAUAAAAGAAAAUAUUGAUGUAAUGUUCAUGAAGGAAUAAUAGUAUUUGGCCAAGCAUAAUGGUGCUUUCAAUGGUACUGUCAACACAAUGUUUACAGAAAACAAUGGGAAAUUUCUAGGUUUGUGAAAAUUAGUUCAAAAUUUGAUAAAAUGCCAAACAUGUAGUUAGGGGAAAACAAAAACGAAUGAUUACUAUCUAGGAUAGAGAAUUCAAAUAGGUUAAUUUAAUGUGUAGUAAAGCAAGAGCUGAAAUCAUAUCUAAAAUUUUUAACAAUUCCGUGGUUAACAAUGUGCCAUGGUCAGAAGACAUGUUGAAAAGCUGGCAUUUAAAAGGCAGGCCUGUGAUAAUGGAGCUAACGUGGAGGGUAUGUAAAAGCUGUGGGAACACAAAGUCUGGCGAAGAAUCCAAAAGCAUUCUACGUGACAUGCAGAGCCCAGUGGAUCCAUCUCUAGGAGACAUGCCCUCCGCUGUCCAUCACGGAUGCUGUGGGACAGAGGCGGGUCCUCUGCAAGACUCUCCAGGUGUGCCCGAGGUGGAGCGGCUUCACUAGACUCACAUCCAACCUCAUAACAGACCUCGGACGCGUGGUGGGAAUACCGCUAAAUGCUCUUAAGGUGAUUAGGUUGAAUUUAGAUAUCAAGAGUCCAGCACAACCACAGGAGCUCCUCAAAGAGCAAAUCACAGACUUUGACAGAAGGUGAAAUUAAUUUUGAAUUUGCGCUUAGUAUGAACUGUUCCUUUCUAUUGACAAGCUUAAAAGCUUUUUUAAAAAAAAAAUCCAAGUUUGGCUAUUUCACUUUUUAAAGAAUUUUUAAAAUUUUUUUGAAGUAUAGAGAAAUAAAACCAAAAGUACGUGUGAAAUAUGCAAGAAAAAUAACAUCCUCAUAAAAUGUAAAGAAAUUGAAACAAGGAAACAAAUAUUUGCCUAACUUGAAGGAAAAGAUCCAUGCACAAAUGAUCCUGAAACCAGUUUCUAUAGAGGCAGUUGUUCUGUUCAUGAUAAAUCAAAAUGUAAGUAUCAUUUGGAGAAAGAUUUGAACAAACUCGAGCAACACACUCCUAUUUUCAGUUUUCUUUAUAAUAUACCAUCGUUGAAAUUUGAAAGAAGAUUUUUAGAUAUUCUGCAUGGUCCUGACACUGGUUAAGAGAUGACAAAAAUGCCUAUAACUGAUUGUGAUUUAAAUGAUCAAAUUAAAAUAUUUAGUAACACCUUCUGUGAUAAUAAUUUAUCGUACGUAACCCCACACAGCAUUUGAGUGCAGUAAUGAAAAAAUCGGGGUUCAUUUCCAAAUCUCAGCAUGAAGAGUUUUAUAUAUAAUUCCCGUUGCUACUGCCUUAGCAGAGUGAAGCUUCUCCAAGUUAAAAUUGAUUAAAAGCUUGUUAAGAACUAUUCGGACUGAAGAAAGGUCAUUAUUUGGCACUUUGUCAAUAGAAAGCAUGUUGAUCAUAGAACGUGAUCAGUUCUUCCUGAAAUGAAGGGAGGAAAAUUAAUUUUAUGGAAUAAACACAUGAUCAUUUAUGAGUUG
This is a long non-coding RNA of Camelus dromedarius (Arabian camel), 3135 nucleotides long. RefSeq lists it as uncharacterized. The transcript has 2 exons. The record is from RefSeq and is a predicted model, not a curated record. Lineage: Eukaryota; Metazoa; Chordata; Mammalia; Artiodactyla; Camelidae.